Molecule: ribosomal RNA, 207 nt
Filed under: uncultured bacterium
Lineage: Bacteria
Description: partial 16S ribosomal RNA
Rfam family: Bacterial small subunit ribosomal RNA
Source: RNAcentral
CGUGUAGGCGGACUCGCAAGUCGGUUGUGAAACCCCUGGGCUCAACCUAGGAACUGCAUCCGAAACUGCUUGUCUUGAGUAAUGGAGAGGGUGGCGGAAUUCCCGGUGUAGAGGUGAAAUUCGUAGAUAUCGGGAGGAACAUCAGUGGCGAAGGCGGCCACCUGGACAUUUACUGACGCUGAGACGCGAAAGCGUGGGGAGCAAACA